This is a long non-coding RNA of Pseudophryne corroboree (corroboree frog), 530 nucleotides long. RefSeq lists it as uncharacterized. The transcript has 3 exons. Lineage: Eukaryota; Metazoa; Chordata; Amphibia; Anura; Myobatrachidae. The record is from RefSeq and is a predicted model, not a curated record.
AAUCGAAAAUGAGGCUGAACCACCUGGUGUCGGAUUCUCACAGGAAUUGGUAUCCUUAAAAGGCGACGUGGAUAUGGAAGACAAACAAUUGAGAGGAGAGCAGGAAGCACAUACUAGUGCUGCAGGAGCUGCCACCAGUUAUGAUGAUACAAGUCCAUCAACAUCAUCUACUAUGGCCAAUGCCUAAGGACAUAGAUGGCUUAAGUCAGGGAACUGGUGCAGAAGCAACUCCAUCAUCCUCUGAGACAAAACAGCAACUGACUUCCUGUGUGAUCAGCAAUAUGUUAUCUAGUUUUUGGGGGAGGGGACUUUCUCAUUCAUGAUGAGUCACUAGUUUAUUCGUGUGCUGAACAGGUUCAGCCUUGGGGACGUCCAAAGGGGCUGGCCUGAGCUUCCUGUCCACUACCUGUUUGGAAUAUCUAUUGUUCUAAUAAAAGUGAUUUUACCUUUCAUACAUUUAAUCAUAACUAUUUGUUGCAAUGUCCUACAACUUAAUAACAAGUAUCAAAUGAAUCUACACAUUAAUCUGC